CACAUAGAAAGAAGGUGGCCGCCUGCCUGGAAGGCCAGCGGGGCUGAAAUUGAAGUGAGAAACUAACCAACUGGGGAGACAGGAUAUGGAUGAGGCAACAGGAAGAGGGCUUGGGGUUGACAGAGCGGGACCCUCAGAGGUUCCAGGGAAACAGACGCUAGAGAGGCCACCACAUAGGAUGCCUGCUCCCUCAGCCCUGAAUCGGGCCCCGAGAAGCUGAUUCUGACCAAAUCAGACCGUGCUAAGGCCCUAGUCAUGGAUAUCCGUAUCUCUGCUGGUCCUCCCACUUCAUGCUCUGCAAAAGAUUAAUGGAUUCAGCACCAUGGCACCCAGGGGGAAAGAAAGGAGAAAGCGAAAGAGAAGACUUUCAAGUUGUGGUAGAUCUAA
Lemur catta (Ring-tailed lemur) is the source of this 387-nucleotide long non-coding RNA. RefSeq lists it as uncharacterized. The record is from RefSeq and is a predicted model, not a curated record. Lineage: Eukaryota; Metazoa; Chordata; Mammalia; Primates; Lemuridae. The transcript has 3 exons.